UUAUCAUGAGGCGGGGCCUGUCCCGACCCUUAUAAGAUAACGUUUCUUGUCUAGAGGCUUUGUAGACUACGUAAAGUAUAGUAUGGUCAUGUAUCGUAUCGUAGACAUUGUGGCUCCAACGGCCUAGUCAUAUAAUAUCUUUUGGCUUGCUAGUCCUAUUUAUCUUUUGAGGGCAUGUUUAGUAUGAAAGUAACUUAUAAUGUUCAUAGGUAAUGUAUCGCUACAGGUUGGUUCUCCCGAGCCUUACCGGCAACGGGUGCCAGUCCGCCUUAAUAGGA
This 278-nucleotide long non-coding RNA is filed under the name Capsicum annuum. RNAcentral describes it as "long non-coding RNA (CANN_LNC015594)". The record is from RNAcentral. Lineage: Eukaryota; Viridiplantae; Streptophyta; Magnoliopsida; Solanales; Solanaceae.